UCUUUUAUAAUUUAUGAAGAAUAUUGCAUUGAAGCUGCAAAAGAGACUAAAUCAGUCUAAAAGAA
RNAcentral lists this transfer RNA (65 nucleotides) under Lomis hirta. RNAcentral describes it as "tRNA-Phe". Lineage: Eukaryota; Metazoa; Arthropoda; Malacostraca; Decapoda; Lomidae. The record is from RNAcentral.